AUACGUAGGUGGCGAGCGUUGUCCGGAAUUAUUGGGCGUAAAGGGUGCGUAGGUGGUUUCUUAAGUCAGAGGUGAAAGGCUACGGCUCAACCGUAGUAAGCCUUUGAAACUGGGAAACUUGAGUGCAGGAGAGGAGAAGGGAAUUCCUAGUGUAGCGGUGAAAUGCGUAGAGAUUAGGAAGAACACCAGUGGCGAAGGCGCUUCUCUGGACUGUAACUGACGCUGAGGCUCGAAAGCGUGGGGAGC
This 246-nucleotide ribosomal RNA is filed under the name uncultured bacterium. RNAcentral's name for it is "partial 16S ribosomal RNA". It matches the Rfam family "Bacterial small subunit ribosomal RNA", at positions 523 to 769 of the family's 1533-position model. The record is from RNAcentral.